UCCAUUUCUUUAUCGUUUAAAACUUAUUUAAAAUGCAUUUAUGUAAAACGGGUGCAGAUGCCCCUAGGUUCAGAUUUUUUUUUUGAGACAGUCCCUAAUGCACUCUCCUAUCAGAUCGGGCCUCGUGCCGGCCCAAAAAUCCAAGGUUCUGAGCCUCUGGCGCUCUCACCCACCCAGCUCGUCUCCCUCACUGACACCGCCGCCGCCUGCGCUCUGCAUCUCUUCACGCCUCGCAAUAAUGGAAGUCCAUUGCUACACGCUUGGGCUCUUCAUCUCUUUCCUUUGUCGCGCCAUAUAUAGGAUGUCAAAUGGACCUUGCUAGAACGCGUACGAACUUCUCUCCUCACUGGCAUAUAUCAGCUCAAUGAAGACUCGGAAACCAAACCCAGCGGCAGGCUCGCAAAACAGAUCCGCAGACCAAGCUGAAGACUCUGAUUCAGCCAAGGAGCUUGAGCGACUCCUGUUCUUCCUCUGCUGUCCCUGGUGAGCCAAGGAAGAAACACAAGAUGCUGGAGUCCAGGAGCUAGAGACCCCGAGGAUGCUUCUACGUGGAGU
Aegilops tauschii subsp. strangulata is the source of this 555-nucleotide long non-coding RNA. RefSeq lists it as uncharacterized. Lineage: Eukaryota; Viridiplantae; Streptophyta; Magnoliopsida; Poales; Poaceae. The record is from RefSeq and is a predicted model, not a curated record.